Suricata suricatta (meerkat) is the source of this 222-nucleotide long non-coding RNA. RefSeq lists it as uncharacterized. The record is from RefSeq and is a predicted model, not a curated record. NCBI's taxonomy places the organism in Eukaryota, Metazoa, Chordata, Mammalia, Carnivora, Herpestidae. The transcript has 3 exons.
UCUGGGGAACAGAAUGGAAAAACUGAGAUUCCUUCUGGAAAUGCCUCAGGCAAGGCAGCUUCAAAGAGACACUUUAAAUCCAGUAUUCUUCUACAACAGGAUUUCUCUAUGAAGCAGUCCAUUCUCUCUACAGAUAUGCUGUGACUAACUUCACCAACUAUUUGGAGGCUACUGGGACAUUUGCUUUCAAAUUUUUUUAAAUAAAAAAUGCUGUCAUAAACA